Long non-coding RNA from Cottoperca gobio, 882 nucleotides. RefSeq lists it as uncharacterized. Lineage: Eukaryota; Metazoa; Chordata; Actinopteri; Perciformes; Bovichtidae. The record is from RefSeq and is a predicted model, not a curated record. The transcript is spliced from 2 exons.
UAUCUACACCGUGUGUAUAAAGUUUAAUUAUCUCUGAGAGCACGUGAAGGCAACGUGUCACACGUCAUCACGUCAGGCUGUUACCAUGGACACGGAGUACUCUCAACGCUCGAGACGUUAGUGAGCUAAACAGAAAAGAUCCUCCAAACAAAACCCGUUAAUUUCUGUAGGACUGGUCUGAAGGUGGACCAGGCAGACGGGCUGUGUCCAGAGUCCUACAGAAUUAACUUCCCCGACGAGAGUCGACUGUUGGCCAUCGGCGACAACUUCCAGCGUCAGUAUUCACACUUGUAUCCCGACCGCAAACCGCUGCUGCUCUGCCCCGUCAACGAAUGUGGCGUUAAGGUAAAAUUAACAAUCUCAAUUUACUGGACGAGUUUCUGCAUCAACUUUCUUCUCUUUUCCUCUCUCGGGAAGAGAAACGCCACCUCGUCCCUACAUCAUCAAACAGCCCAUAUAGGAGACACGGGACAAUAUGAACUUUAUGUCACCAUUAUCCACAAUAACUGAUUUACGACAUUAUCCUGAUAAUCCUCAAAAUAUGCAUAAAAGUAUUGAAAGUCACUAAAACAUUCUGGAAAUCACUUAACAUUGAAUUUUGUAAAGAAACAAACAAAUAUUUUUAUUGCAUCACAGAUAGAACAUCUUUUUAGUGAAGUUCAACUUCUUGCAUCUCAGGCUCUCUUCAACAACGCUCAAUAAAUAUGUUUAAAAAAAUCACACACGUCAAAACAAAAAGAGAAUCUAAAAUAUAAACAAACAUUAAAUAUAAAAUAUAUUUAUAUAAAUUAGACAGUGAACAAAAAAAAAAAAAAAAAUUAAAAACAGAACAUUCUUAAAUAAGGUAAUCAAAAGUUGUACAUGCUCCUCCAAAGUGCGAAA